CCUACGGGGGGCAGCAGUAGGGAAUUUUCGUCAAUGGGCGCAAGCCUGAACGAGCAAUGCCGCGUGAACGAGGAAGGUCUUCGGAUCGUAAAGUUCUGUUGAAGGGGAAAAAGAGCGGAGAGAGGAAAUGGUCUCCGAUUGAUAUUACCCUUCGAGGAAGUCACGGCUAACUACGUGCCAGCAGCCGCGGUAAUACGUAGGUGGCGAGCGUUAUCCGGAAUGAUUGGGCGAAAAGGGUGCGUAGGCGGCCGGCUAAGUCUGGGGUGAAAGGUCCCGGCUCAACCGGUAUAGGGUCUGGAAACUGGCGGGCUAGAGAGCAGGAGAGGGCGGUGGAACUCCAUGUGUAGCGGUAAAAUGCGUAGAUAUAUGGAAGAACACCAGUGGCGAAGGCGGCCGCCUGGCCUGUUACUGACGCUGAGGCACGAAAGCGUGGGGAGCAAAUAGGAUUAGAUACCCUUGUAGUC
RNAcentral lists this ribosomal RNA (464 nucleotides) under uncultured bacterium. RNAcentral describes it as "partial 16S ribosomal RNA". It matches the Rfam family "Bacterial small subunit ribosomal RNA", at positions 338 to 795 of the family's 1533-position model. The record is from RNAcentral.